RNAcentral lists this non-coding RNA (458 nucleotides) under Pongo abelii (Sumatran orangutan). The record is from RNAcentral. Lineage: Eukaryota; Metazoa; Chordata; Mammalia; Primates; Hominidae.
AGUCCCAGGCCCCAGGGCGAAGGCGGCUAGGGGAAAUGGGGCUCAGGGAUUGCUAAGCAAACGCAUCACUGGUGGUCUCCAGCGCCUGCGGAGUAUCUUUUGCUGCCUCUUAUGUAUUGUAGGCAGUGCCUGAUGGCUGAGAAGAAUCGCGGAGGACUAGAAAAGGUUUGAGUCUGAAAUUAUCUGCCACAGAGAGUUAGAGCUCAGAAAUAAGUUAUUGUGAAACAGUUCAACUUCCAUGUUAACGACAACGACAAUAACAACAACACGCUUAUUAAUUCCUAGCUGGAGCAUCAAGCUUAUGAAGAUUUCCAAGUAAGACUUUAUUGUUGACCCUUGUUGAAGAGAACUCUACUUGGCUUCGUUCCUGGCUUUCCUAAAUUGUUCACAUACAAGAUAAACUACCAUCAUUCAGACUUACAGAAGUGAGAAGACAAGCUGAACCAAAUGUAAAAUGG